AGUCUCCUGUGAUUAGUCCCGUCCCCUAAUGAGAUUACAGCGUCCAGGUGAUGCAGCAGUGCCUGCUACAGAAAAGUUUAAAAGGUUGAUCGAGGCGGGCUAGCAGGAGCUCUGUGGAACAGCCUUCCCCAGUCAGUCAUCCAAGGAGGAGCGGCAUUGAAUGACUCUCACAAAGCAUACACAAAGCACUUCUUGUUGCGCUAAUCAUCAACUAAGUAAAAUUAACCAAUUUGCUAAUUAAGGCUCCUGACAAUUCAUCAUUACAGUAACGCUGCACUGCAGUGAUUUCAUCACCCGGUCACCGGCUCCUUCCCUGCUCUGAGCACUCCUGCCAUGACUCGCUGGGGCCAGGAUCUGGGUGGCCGCUGCUUUCCAGAGGAAUUUAAAAGGGAUCAGUCUCCUGCUGAAGAAGGAAGGAGCAGAGAGGGAAGGAUGCCUCUGCUGACUAAGCAGGAGAGACACAGGAGUUGGGAGGCUGAGGGGAGAAGGAUUUGGGAUUCAAUGCCUCCUGCUCACUGGAACACUGCUCCCUGGACCUCCCACCACCUGGAUUUUCACUCCCUGGGGCUCCCCAUCACUGCACACCCCCUUAGGGAGCCUCCCCCACUGGGCAGAUGCACAGCUUGGAAGAGGAGGCUGCGAGCACAGAGCCCUCCCGAGGCACAGCCAGACCUGUCCUCCAUCGGGCAGUGGCCAGAAAACCCUUCCCCAACAGCAAAGCAACCCUGAAAGCUUGAACUGCACACACGGCGUGUCUCCUGGAGCCUCAGAUGCUCUCUAAACAUCUUCCCUUCUUCAAAAGGGUAAACAAUCUUUCACCCAUUUAACCUUAGACACCAAACUCUGUGACUCACCCAAAAUCUCAACACUUCCUUGUGCCCCUGCCAUUUGUCCCUAUUCAAGGCAAGGAACAACACCAGUAUCAAGAGAUUUGUAUUUUAUGUUCCCCUCUGAUGUAGCCUCACUCACUCGAACACCAUAAUUUGACCUUCGGUGUCUCAGCUUCACAAAUUGCACAUAAA
Long non-coding RNA from Hirundo rustica (Barn swallow), 1022 nucleotides. RefSeq lists it as uncharacterized. NCBI's taxonomy places the organism in Eukaryota, Metazoa, Chordata, Aves, Passeriformes, Hirundinidae. The transcript is spliced from 2 exons. The record is from RefSeq and is a predicted model, not a curated record.